This 301-nucleotide unclassified non-coding RNA is filed under the name uncultured fungus. RNAcentral's name for it is "partial contains small subunit ribosomal RNA, internal transcribed spacer 1, and 5.8S ribosomal RNA". The stretch from base 1 to 73 matches the Rfam family "Eukaryotic small subunit ribosomal RNA", at positions 1759 to 1831 of the family's 1831-position model. The record is from RNAcentral. Lineage: Eukaryota; Fungi.
GCAAACUUGGUCAUUUAGAGGAAGUAAAAGUCGUAACAAGGUUUCCGUAGGUGAACCUGCGGAAGGAUCAUUAAUGAGUUAUUGAUUUUUUUUUAACCAAAAAAAUCAAAAUCUCCCAAACCCUUUGUUUAAAACUACCAUAACGUUGCUUUCGGUUGAAAGUGUGUUUUUUGACCAUUUUCAGCCGAACAGCCUUAUAAAAACUCUUUAUUAAUUUUGUCUGAAUACCAUUCUUAAUUAAAAAGAAAACAAAACUUUCAACAACGGAUCUCUUGGUUCUGGCAUCGAUGAAGAACGCAGC